This 1161-nucleotide long non-coding RNA is filed under the name Equus caballus (horse). RNAcentral's name for it is "lncRNA (ENSECAG00000039464.3)". The record is from RNAcentral. Lineage: Eukaryota; Metazoa; Chordata; Mammalia; Perissodactyla; Equidae.
GGACUGACAAAGGCCUCUCUCACUUCUGCGUCCUCUCAUGCCUAAGGCAGGGAAGACGCCAAGAGGAGCCCUGAGGUGUGCUGUUGAAGCAAGAAGCCUCCCUGUAUAUUUGGCCCAUGGAAAUCAAUUUCUUUGCUCGACAGUACGAGGUUUUCCUUUCUCCAAGUGUGAUGGGAAGAGGCAUCAGAGCUUCAGAGAAGGCAAGGGUAGAUUAAGGAGCCAAAACCAGAGGAUGGCAAGCAUGGCUGACACGUGUUCCCCAUGAAUUUAGGUGCUAGGGUGGCCGCCUCGUUUUGGAUGUUGCAACAACUGGGUUUUCCUCUCUGGCUCUGUUAUAUAGACACUGGACUGCACGGGAGAAACAGGUCAUAUAAUCCUCAAGACAACGUUUCAAGGAUACUAUCUCCAUUUUACAGAUGAGGUACUGAGGAAUCAAGAAUAUGCUUAAGAUCAUGGACUGAAAAUAGGGAUUUAUUGCAGAAAUCUUAGAAUCCAAGUCUUUGAUGUUGGGACAGUAAAAUCCAGGUGAUGCCGGAGCCCUGACGGGUGAACAGUUGAUAAAAGCAUGUGCAAGCUAACCAUGUCUUUCCUAAUUUACCACUCCAACCUCUGCCCCUCCGUGCUCCCAGGACUGAUGGAUUACAAUCUCAGGAGACUGCCUCCUCUCAAAGCUGCUCUUCCCUGAGUUGACAGUUCAUAUACAGGAAUUUCUGCAAGACAGACUGCUUCUAGGAAUUAACUUAACCAACACUAUGGAUGCACUCUAUGGAGAAAACUUUAAAAGCUAUUGAAGUGAAAACUGCUUUGAAAGGCAAAACUCCUGAGGUCAGAUCUGUCUCUCUGACUGAAGGGAAGGAAAUGAACGGAACCCCUUGAAGCAAAGUUGUGUAUUUCCAUUCAGAAGAGGAACAUUCUACCUCUCUCUUGUGAGAGCGGUGGAUUCCUGGUCCCUGAAAGCAUUGGAACAUGGGCCAAGUAACUACUUGGUGAGCCAUUGUAAAGGAAAUUCAAGGGGUACCAUGAGGAUUGGGUUUCACAAGCCUCAAAGUCCUUCCCAAGUCUGAGCAUCUCAGCGGCUGCUGGACUAUCUUUCCGGGUUUUGCCUUCACCUUGGUCACCAGGAUUGCGACACGCUUUUGGGGUAUGGAUGGAUGGGUAGAU